AUCCAUUUGACAAGUUCCAAAUAGAACGAAACACGCGUCAAACUGGAU
RNAcentral lists this non-coding RNA (48 nucleotides) under Schistosoma haematobium. The record is from RNAcentral. Lineage: Eukaryota; Metazoa; Platyhelminthes; Trematoda; Strigeidida; Schistosomatidae.